GUCUACGGCCAUACCACCCUGAACGCGCCCGAUCUCGUCUGAUCUCGGAAGCUAAGCAGGGUCGGGCCUGGUUAGUACUUGGAUGGGAGAAGAGAAUGGCAUAAUAUAGUCA
RNAcentral lists this ribosomal RNA (112 nucleotides) under Neogale vison (American mink). The record is from RNAcentral. Lineage: Eukaryota; Metazoa; Chordata; Mammalia; Carnivora; Mustelidae.